RNAcentral lists this ribosomal RNA (459 nucleotides) under uncultured bacterium. Its description in RNAcentral is "partial 16S ribosomal RNA". It matches the Rfam family "Bacterial small subunit ribosomal RNA", at positions 338 to 795 of the family's 1533-position model. The record is from RNAcentral.
CCUACGGGGGGCAGCAGUGAGGAAUAUUGGUCAAUGGCCGGAAGGCUGAACCAGCCAAGCCGCGUGAAGGACGAAGGUGCCAAGCAUUGUAAACUUCUUUUGUCAAGGGACAAAAUCAGGCUCGAGAGCCUGACCGAGGGUACUUGAAGAAAAAGCAUCGGCUAACUCCGUGCCAGCAGCCGCGGUAAUACGGAGGAUGCGAGCGUUAUCCGGAUUUAUUGGGUUUAAAGGGUGCGUAGGCGGGCUGUUAAGUCAGUGGUAAAAGCCCGGGGCUCAACCCCGGCGAGCCGUUGAAACUGGCUGUCGUGAGAUGGCGAGAGGUAGGCGGAAUGCGCGGUGUAGCGGUGAAAUGCUUAGAUAUUGCGCAGAACUCCGAUUGCGAAGGCAGCAUACCGGCGGCGAUCUGACGCUGAGGCACGAAAGCGUGGGUAUCGAACAGGAUUAGAUACCCGAGUAGUC